UUCUAUGGCAGGCUGGACAGGGCAGCCUUCGGGCUGGCCGCUCCCUGUGAUCGCGGUAUUCUCACCCCUGUUCAGUCUGUCACCAUU
This is a non-coding RNA of Acinetobacter populi, 87 nucleotides long. Lineage: Bacteria; Pseudomonadati; Pseudomonadota; Gammaproteobacteria; Moraxellales; Moraxellaceae. The record is from Rfam.